AAGUCAUAACAAGGUUUCCGUAGGUGAACCUGCGGAAGGAUCAUUACAUUUAGUAGCUUGCUACUGUUAGGGAGGCCGGUUAGUCUGUAUAGUAUCACUACUGAUGAGCAGCACGGCCUUCUGUCUGUACCCUUGUCUUUUGCGCACUCAUGUUUCCUCGGCUGGGUUUAACGCCCGCCGGCUGGACAACUCUAUAACCUUUUUAAUUUUCAAUCAGCGUCUGAAAAACCUAAUAAUUACAA
This 242-nucleotide unclassified non-coding RNA is filed under the name plant metagenome. RNAcentral describes it as "partial contains small subunit ribosomal RNA and internal transcribed spacer 1". The stretch from base 1 to 46 matches the Rfam family "Eukaryotic small subunit ribosomal RNA", at positions 1786 to 1831 of the family's 1831-position model. The record is from RNAcentral.